GGGGCUGUAGCUCAGAUGGGAGAGCGCAUCGUUCGCAAUGAUGAGGUCAGGGGUUCGAUUCCCCUCAGCUCCACCA
This 76-nucleotide transfer RNA is filed under the name Nitratireductor thuwali. RNAcentral describes it as "Nitratireductor sp. 1536 tRNA-Ala". It matches the Rfam family "tRNA". Rfam says of the family: Transfer RNA (tRNA) molecules are approximately 80 nucleotides in length. Their secondary structure includes four short double-helical elements and three loops (D, anti-codon, and T loops). The record is from RNAcentral. Lineage: Bacteria; Pseudomonadati; Pseudomonadota; Alphaproteobacteria; Hyphomicrobiales; Phyllobacteriaceae. RNAcentral also lists the same sequence under 2 other names.